Molecule: ribosomal RNA, 468 nt
Filed under: uncultured bacterium
Lineage: Bacteria
Description: partial 16S ribosomal RNA
Rfam family: Bacterial small subunit ribosomal RNA
Source: RNAcentral
GACGAACGCUGGCGGCGUGCUUAACACAUGCAAGUCGAACGGAAAGGCCCUGCUUUUGUGGGGUGCUCGAGUGGCGAACGGGUGAGUAACACGUGAGUAACCUGCCCUUGACUUUGGGAUAACUUCAGGAAACUGGGGCUCAUACCGGAUAUGAGCUCCUGCUGCAUGGUGGUGGUUGGAAAGUUUCGGCGGUUGUGGAUGGACUCGCGGCUUAUCAGCUUGUUGGUGUGGUAGUGGCUUACCAAGGCUUUGACGGGUAGCCGGCAUGAGAGGGUGACCGGCCACAUUGGGACUGAGAUACGGCCCAGACUCCUACGGGAGGCAGCAGUGGGGAAUAUUGCACAAUGGGCGGAAGCCUGAUGCAGAAACGCCGCGUGCGGGAUGACGGCCUUCGGGUUGUAAACCGCUUUCGCCUGUGACGAAGCGUGAGUGACGGUAAUGGGUAAAGAAGCACCGGCUAACUACGUG